UGAGGAAUAUUGGACAAUGGAUGGAAAUCUGAUCCAGCCAUGCCGCGUGCAGGAAGACGGCCUUAUGGGUUGUAAACUGCUUUUAUACGGGAGCAAUAAGGGUUACGAGUAAUCCGAUGAGAGUACUGUAUGAAUAAGGAUCGGCUAACUCCGUGCCAGCAGCCGCGGUAAUACGGAGGAUCCGAGCGUUAUCCGGAAUUAUUGGGUUUAAAGGGUGCGUAGGCGGCCAUUUAAGUCAGCGGUGAAAUUUUGCAGCUUAACUGUAACAGUGCCGUUGAUACUGUUUGGCUAGGAUUUGGUUGUAGUGUGCGGAAUGUGUGGUGUAGCGGUGAAAUGCUUAGAUAUCACACAGAACACCGAUUGCGAAGGCAGCACACUAAGUCAUUAUUGACGCUGAGGCACGAAAGUGUGGGGAUCAAAC
Molecule: ribosomal RNA, 421 nt
Filed under: uncultured Rikenellaceae bacterium
Lineage: Bacteria; Pseudomonadati; Bacteroidota; Bacteroidia; Bacteroidales; Rikenellaceae
Description: bacterial SSU rRNA
Rfam family: Bacterial small subunit ribosomal RNA
Source: RNAcentral